RNAcentral lists this long non-coding RNA (206 nucleotides) under Elaeis guineensis (African oil palm). RNAcentral describes it as "long non-coding RNA (EGUI_LNC037466)". The record is from RNAcentral. Lineage: Eukaryota; Viridiplantae; Streptophyta; Magnoliopsida; Arecales; Arecaceae.
GUAUCGACAUCGUCAUUGGCAUUGCAAUCUUGGGCAGAGAUCCAUAUUCUGCACUCAUGAGGGAUUCCCCAACAAUCUCCACAAUAGAUGAAAAUUUAUUUGCAUAUUAGAGAAUCAAAUAGGACCUAAAUUUAUUUGGGAGUACCUAUUUCUAAUAAGGGAUUGUCCUCAGCUAACUUUGAUGGUUUGAUUCAUCAAUUUUUGAG